Molecule: long non-coding RNA, 258 nt
Organism: Lolium rigidum
Lineage: Eukaryota; Viridiplantae; Streptophyta; Magnoliopsida; Poales; Poaceae
Exons: 4
Source: RefSeq, a predicted model, not a curated record
AUGUCUUCAUGCCCAGUGGUAUCCGCUUCCAUGCCGCCGAGCCUCCUCAAUUGCUAUGCUAUAGCUGACUCAGGAAUGCAUUCAGGCUGUUGUUGCUAACUUGAGAGAGCCCAUGAAAUUUCUUCAGACGAUGAAACAAAUGCCGAGGUUCUCAGGUUUAUUGAUGUUGGCAUAGUCUGUUGUGGUAAUUUCCUGCGGAUGCGAGCUCGGCAAGUAUUGGCUGGUGCUGGAGACAUACAUCAUAUGCCUACAAAACUA